CAAACAGCCGCACCCACGUAAAAAAAACGCAGCCUUCCCGACAUGUGGGACCAGCCUUCGAUUCCCUUCACCUCCCACGCUGCUCCGAUUGAUCUGUGCUCGCCCCUGUGAAGUCGCCAGCCACCUCCAUCCGCCCUAGAGGGUCCCCUGAUCUGUGAGGACGUCUGGGCGUUGCGGUCGAGGAAAACGCAGCCGUCGCGGAUCCUCCAGGUGCUCCAGCAGCGGGGGUUGGCCAGGAGCGAGCAGGGUAAGGGAGAAAGGAUGAGAGAAGUCGACGGAGCCGGCGUGUUGCCAGGCGCUGAGCACUGACGGAUCAGGCUCUGGCUCCCUGGCCUUUGCCCCCUCUCUUUCUCACCUCCGCCAGCGCCAGGGUCCCAGGGAGUUCACCGCUACCGGUGAAAUCUCCUCCGUCGCCUGCUCCAGUGAGAUCUCCCUCUCCACCACUGCGAAGGACACAGGUCUCACUUCUCUUAGUGGAACAGCCCGAGAUGUAUUGUGCGCACUGCAUUUUGUGUUGCUGGUGAUUGCUCAUGCGUGCUGAGUAUUCCCUCCGUUCCAUAAUGCUUGUCUCAAAUUUGCCUAAAUAUGGAUGUAUGUAUUUGUAAAAUGUGUCUAGAUACAUGUAAUAUUCUGACAAGAAUUAUGGAACGGAGGGAGUAAUACGUCAUUUUGUUUGUAGAAAGUAAUAGCUGUGUGCACUUAUUUUUAAUCAAAUUCUCUACUAAUUCUUCUGGUUAUAUAGAGUUGCUUGAGGCAGAUUUGGAUUUUGUUAAAGUUGAACUUACGAAUUCGAUUACCGAUGAGCAGCCAGUUUGUCUAUUUCUCCUGUUUUGUGGGUGUCUGAUCACAUGUUGUCAAAGAUAUCAGCAUGUUCUUAGCGUUUUAGUUUAUAUUUUGAACAAUGUGUUGCACCGAAGAUAAAUAAAUACUGAGGCUCAAUUAUGUGUGAUCUGAGUAAGAACGACUCUAUUGUGUGUCUCCAUAGGUACAAUUAUUCUUGUGAUUUGUCAUUACAAUAAAUCUUAUACUCCCUCCGUCCCAAAUUAACUGACGUGGUACAAAUCCACGUCAGUUAAUUUGGGACGGAGGGAGUAUUUGAUAUGUGUCUUGCGCAUUGAGUAAAGCAUUCAAGCCUAAUUGGCAAUAUUUGGUUGUUCUCUCACACAAGAUCGAAGGGAUUGUAAGUUCAAAGACAUGAUAUGCAAGUGAUUAAAUGUCUUUUUAUAUGAAGCUUACGGUGGAGCAAGGCGACACCUGAGCAGAGCACACCUCCCCUUUUUGAGAUGUGCCAUGUUCUUAUUUCCAAUUUUGAAUUUUGCUUCUCAGCAUCUUCUGUCACUCGUUGUGAGACAUUGAUACCCACACAAAUGGGUUUCCUCUAAGUACCAACCAAGGGCAAGCUAACACUUCCGGUGCUGUCAAGCGUCUGUUACCAUGGUCUAUAAGUAUGCUGAAAGGAGUCAGGUUGGUGUUCAAACCCCAGGUGAUCCCAUAUGUCAAGCAAUGCUGCAAAAUCUGGAAGAACCAUUGAUCUGCACAAGGUUGGUUGUAGUCUCUCACCUCCAGUUUUCUCAAUUCUCACUUAAUUUAUUUCUUGUUCCUGAUGUACCCUAUAACCACAGAUUUGGUCUAUAGAAUUGUGAGUGUCAUUAGAAAUGUGUUGCUCCAUACUGCUGAAUGAUGUUCAUUAUACCACCAAACUAUCAAAAGUAUUAAGAGGUGGCACACUGGUACUUCGUGUUGUGCUGUCAUGUACAAGCAGUCACAGUACAUGAUUAUUUAUGUUGGACACCUCUCUGUUUUGCUCUUUAUAUACGGGAGAGGGUGUUUCACUUAGCUUACAGAAAAAUUCUUCAAGUACUAUUGAUCCUGUUGUCAGGACUUGUAGCUAUUCUCCCCCUUUUCCCAUGUACGUACAGUGUCAAAUAUCUGUCAGAGGAUGAAUCGAUACUUGCUCCAGUAACCAUGGUUUAUAUUUAUGAACCACAGGUAUGUUCAUUUUUUUUUUGCUAUUUCAUCUGAAACUCUACAUACUGUAACUUCUGAAAGAACAUCUUUUUCUUCUUUCUACCAGUAAGAUGAAAGUUUGCACUGUACAGUAAUGAUCUACCUGGAGUGUCAGUCGCUCUUCAUGUACAGAAUUCUUGGUCAUGGUUAUAUUUACCAUUGGGUGUAUGUUUGUAUCAUGCAUUAUCGAUACACUAUUCUUGUGAGCUAAGAGAACACAACUGGACUCUCUGUGAACAUUUUCUGUACUGUAUUCUGUAGUUGUACCAUAAGGUUAACGGGAUGUUAAAUGUUUUGUAUCUUGUAGCAUAAAUUUAACUCAAUAUACCAAAUGUAUCUUGUUUCUUUGUAAAUCAGACUGACUCUUCCGCUGGUAAAGAAGCUAGGAUACAAGAUGUUGAAGCUAAGUUAACUCACUGACAUGCCACAUGUAACCGCAUUGCACAGGUAUGCAUAUAAAAAUUUUAGACACAAGGUUCUUGUAUAAUAUUCUAGAAAGCCUAUUUUCUUUUCUCUGUAAUAUGUUUCGUCACGUUAUUGUCCUUUUUGGUUCUGUUUUGCAAGGUAUCUUAAGACUAAGCCUUUGUCCAGAUAUUUGUAUGGAACCAUUGUUGGUUCUUAAUUAGCUUGAAGCAAAAGUUUAAGACUUUCGGGAUUUAAGGAAAACAAAUAUGGAUCGCAGAGGUUGGUUUUUAAUUUGAUUCUUGAUACACAACAUCAACCUGAUUUUUGGUUUUCAGCUUGAGAGAGUUUUCUCAAUCUUUAAGUUUCUUGAGGAAAAGUAAAGAACGGAGUUCUGAACUGGAGCAAAGAAUUAUCAAUGCAGUAAAGGUAAACCUUUUGACUUAUGAUACGGAGUAGGUAUUAAAGUCAUCAUCUAACUAUUGUUCUCUCAUUUUUUGAAUCUUUUGAUGGUUGAAAAAGUUGUUCUCGGCAAAGGAUGCUGCAGCGGCUAAUGAACAGAUUUAUUUAGACUUGAUUACAGGGUUGGUCUACUGGAGUACUUGCGAAUGAGUAUAUUGGAUUGGUUUCCCUCGUCAAGGGGAUGCUAUAUGUGGCAUGUUAUUUUUGCUAUUCGCCCAUUUUAUGUACCAGAUGGGCCUUUUUUGAACAAAUCUUUUGCUUUAUUUGCAAAGUAAACUUACUUGUGUACCACUCGCAUGUGAGCUCUCAAUUCAUUGCCAAUCUAACUGGAUAAAUUUUUUUGAUCCAGAAUUCAAUGCCAAUCUAAUGAUUUUGUUGUUC
Brachypodium distachyon (stiff brome) is the source of this 3252-nucleotide long non-coding RNA. RefSeq lists it as uncharacterized. The transcript is spliced from 2 exons. The record is from RefSeq and is a predicted model, not a curated record. Lineage: Eukaryota; Viridiplantae; Streptophyta; Magnoliopsida; Poales; Poaceae.